CUACGGGCUGCACCAGUGGGGAAUAUUGGACAAUGGGCGCAGGCCUGAUCCAGCAAUGCCGCGUGAGUGAAGACGGCCUUAGGGUUGUAAAACUCUUUCGCUAGGGAAGAUAAUGACUGUACCUAGUAAAGAAGUCCCGGCUAACUCCGUGCCAGCAGCCGCGGUAAUACGGAGGGGACUAGCGUUGUUCGGAAUUACUGGGCGUAAAGAGUUCGUAGGCGGACUGACAAGUUAGAGGUGAAAUCCCAGGGCUCAACCCUGGAACUGCCUUUAAAACUGUCAGUCUAGAGACCGGAAGAGGUUAGGGGAAUACCUAGUGUAGAGGUGAAGUUCGUAGAUAUUAGGUGGAACACCAGUGGCGAAGGCGCCUAACUGGUCCGGUACUGACGCUGAGGAACGAAAGCGUGGGGAGCAAACAGGAUUAGAUACCCGGGUAGUC
RNAcentral lists this ribosomal RNA (439 nucleotides) under uncultured bacterium. RNAcentral's name for it is "partial 16S ribosomal RNA". It matches the Rfam family "Bacterial small subunit ribosomal RNA", at positions 339 to 795 of the family's 1533-position model. The record is from RNAcentral.